CCUACGGGUGGCUGCAGUGGGGAAUUUUGGACAAUGGGCGCAAGCCUGAUCCAGCAAUGCCGCGUGAGUGAAGAAGGCCUUCGGGUUGUAAAGCUCUUUCAGUUGAGAAGAAAAAAUUGUGACUAAUAAUCACAAUUGAUGACGGUAUCAACAGAAGAAGCACCGGCUAACUACGUGCCAGCAGCCGCGGUAAUACGUAGGGUGCGAGCGUUAAUCGGAAUUACUGGGCGUAAAGGGUGCGCAGGCGGUUUUGUAAGUCAGAUGUGAAAUCCCCGGGCUUAACCUGGGAAUUGCGUUUGAAACUACAAAACUAGAGUGUAGCAGAGGGAGGUGGAAUUCCAUGUGUAGCAGUGAAAUGCGUAGAGAUAUGGAAGAACAUCGAUGGCGAAGGCAGCCUCCUGGGUUAACACUGACGCUCAUGCACGAAAGCGUGGGGAGCAAACAGGAUUAGAUACCCGGGUAGUC
RNAcentral lists this ribosomal RNA (465 nucleotides) under uncultured Nitrosomonas sp. RNAcentral's name for it is "bacterial SSU rRNA". It matches the Rfam family "Bacterial small subunit ribosomal RNA", at positions 338 to 795 of the family's 1533-position model. The record is from RNAcentral. Lineage: Bacteria; Pseudomonadati; Pseudomonadota; Betaproteobacteria; Nitrosomonadales; Nitrosomonadaceae.